CAGCCUUUUCGCGAGACCUUGAAGCACUUCAUUCUAAUCGUUCCCCACUGCAACGACACAUCGUCUGGAGGAGAACAUACAUCCCUGACCGCUCUUCACAAAGACUAUGAGUGUAUAGCGGAUCGUUUGGAGUUGUUGGGUUUUAUGGAGGGGCUUUUUGCAAACCUAUACAGAGGAUCUUUUUUUGUAGAAAAAAAAAGUAACCUUGAACACUCCUGAAGUUUACUGAACCUGUUCAGGACGAAUUUUGGGCGUUGCUGGUUUCUGGGAGACUUGCAGAACGUUACAGGGUGUUACUAUUGAACAGGUCGUGUGCAAGCCCCCAAAACUCAUCCCCAGACAUCGUUCUUUUUGGAACUUUCUUCCAGAUGAUCCAACAACAUUACAAAUAUAUUUGAUCUUUGAUAAAAAUAAAUAAUAUUUCCCAAA
Rhincodon typus (whale shark) is the source of this 429-nucleotide long non-coding RNA. RefSeq lists it as uncharacterized. Lineage: Eukaryota; Metazoa; Chordata; Chondrichthyes; Orectolobiformes; Rhincodontidae. The record is from RefSeq and is a predicted model, not a curated record. The transcript is spliced from 3 exons.